This 1230-nucleotide long non-coding RNA is filed under the name Takifugu rubripes (torafugu). RNAcentral describes it as "lncRNA (ENSTRUG00000028295.1)". Lineage: Eukaryota; Metazoa; Chordata; Actinopteri; Tetraodontiformes; Tetraodontidae. The record is from RNAcentral.
CUUCAUCACUCCAUUAUUCCCUCACUCCCUCACUCCCUGAUUCCCUCACUCCAUCACUUCCUCACUCCCUCACUUCAUCACUCCCUCAUUCCCUCACUUCCUCACUCUCUCACUUCCUCAUUCCCUCACUUCCUCAUUCCCUCACUCCCUCACUUCCUCACUUCCUCACACCCUCACUUCCUCACUCUCUCACUUCCUCAUUCCCUCACUCCCUCACUUCCUCACUCCCUCACGUCCUCACUCUCUCACUUCCUCAUUCCCUCACUUCCUCACUCCCUCAUUCCCUCACUCCCUCACUUCAUCACUCCCUCACUUCCUCACUCCCUCACUUCAUCACUCCCUCACUCCAUCAUUCCCUCACUUCAUCACUCCCUCACUUCAUCACUCCCUCAUUCCCUCACUUCCUCACUCCCUCACUUCCUCACUCCCUCACUCCAUCACUCCCUCACUCCAUCAUUCCCUCACUCCCUCACUUCCUCACUCCCUCACUCCCUCAUUCCCUCACUUCCUCACUCCCUAACUUCAUCACUCCAUUAUUCCCUCACUCCCUCACUCCCUGAUUCCCUCACUCCAUCACUUCCUCACUCCCUCACUUCAUCACUCCCUCAUUCCCUCACUUCCUCACUCCCUCACUUCAUCACUCCCUCACUCCAUCAUUCCCUCACUUCAUCACUCCCUCACUUCAUCACUCCCUCAUUCCCUCACUUCCUCACUCCCUCACUUCCUCACUCCCUCACUCCAUCACUCCCUCACUUCAUCACUCCCUCACUCCAUCAUUCCCUCACUCCCUCACUUCCUCACUCCCUCAUUCCCUCACUUCCUCACUCCCUAACUUCAUCACUCCAUUAUUCCCUCACUCCCUCACUCCGAUUCCCUCACUCCAUCACUUCCUCACUCCCUCACUUCCUCAUUCCCUCACUCCCUCACUCCCUGAUUCCCUCACUCCAUCACUUCAUCACUCCCUCAUUCCCUCACUUCCUCACUCCCUCACUUCAUCACUCCCUCACUCCAUCAUUCCCUCACUUCAUCACUCCCUCACUUCAUCACUCCCUCAUUCCCUCACUUCCUCACUCCCUCACUUCCUCACUCCAUCACUCCCUCACUUCAUCACUCCCUCACUCCAUCAUUCCCUCACUCCCUCACUUCCUCACUCCCUCACUCCCUCAUUCCCUCACUUCCUCACUCCCUAACUUCAUCACUCCAUUAUUCCCUCACUCCCUCACUCCCUGA